Long non-coding RNA from Gavialis gangeticus (Gharial), 633 nucleotides. RefSeq lists it as uncharacterized. The record is from RefSeq and is a predicted model, not a curated record. NCBI's taxonomy places the organism in Eukaryota, Metazoa, Chordata, Crocodylia, Gavialidae. The transcript has 2 exons.
GUUCAGAAGACACAGGAGAAAGGAGGACUUAUGGGGGCGCAGUAUAAAAGAUGUGGAGGCAGCAAUUUCCAGAUCAUUGUGGAAGGACAAAGAGAUUGAGAAGAAUGACAGUGCUUUAUGCCCACUAUCAAAGCCUGCGAGACAAGAAAGGAAGACAUGGAAAAGCGAAGUUUGGCAGCAGCUGAUCAAGAAGGCAGUAUUCAGGAAGAAAACAGGUCCGAAAAGGGAGAAAAGUAAAGCAGACAUUGAAAGGCAUUCUCCACAGGGGUGUGAUCAGCAAUAUCAAGCAUGGCUAUUCAUUGCCACGAUGGUGGGAAGAUGAUGCUCAAAAGCAAAUUGAGGGUGUCUGUGGGGUUCCAGAAAUGGGAUUGUAAUGCCCUUGUGUUUUUUGCCUGUACCAGAGGACAUGUUUCUAGAAGACAUGGUGACUGAAAAUCCCUGCUACAAGAGCAAUGCCCAGCCGAAGCCUGAGAAGUAUUGAAAGAAUGCUGCUGCUUUAAUACCUCCAUGCAAAGGGCACUGAUGACCAGCCAAAGAGUAACAAGGGUGACUUUUUUUCUACUCUCAUCUUUCAUGACCUGUAUUUUUAUAAACGUUUAUUCCACCGUAUUAAUAAAUGCUCAGUGAAAUAUC